AGCGGCGCACGGGUGAGUAACACGUAGGUAACCUACCCUCGAGCCUGGGAUAACCUACCGAAAGGUGGGCUAAUACCGGAUAUGACCCCGGGAGUUCCGGCUCCUGCGGUGAAAGAUGGCCUCUGCUUGCAAGCCAUCGCUCGGGGAGGGGCCUGCGCGCCAUUAGCUAGUUGGUGGGGUAAUGGCCCACCAAGGCGAUGAUGGCUAGCUGGUCUGAGAGGAUGGCCAGCCACACUGGGACUGAAACACGGCCCAGACUCCUACGGGAGGCAGCAGUGGGGGAUAUUGCGCAAUGGGCGAAAGCCUGACGCAGCGACGCCGCGUGGGUGAUGAAGGCCUUCGGGUCGUAAAGCCCUGUCGAGGGGGAAGAACCGGUCGCGAUCGAAUAGGUCGCGGCCCCGACGGUACCCCUAAAGGAAGCACCGGCUAACUCCGUGCCAGCAGCCGCGGUAAUACGGAGGGUGCGAGCGUUGUUCGGAAUUACUGGGCGUAAAGCGCGUGUAGGCGGUCUGCUAAGUCUGAUGUGAAAGCCCGGGGCUCACCCUCGGAAGUGCAUUGGAAACUGACAGACUGGAGUCCCGGAGAGGAGGGUGGAAUUCCUGGUGUAGCGGUGAAAUGCGUAGAUAUCAGGAGGAACACCGGUGGCGAAGGCGGCCCUCUGGACGGUGACUGACGCUGAGACGCGAAAGCGUGGGGAGCAAACAGGAUUAGAUACCCUGGUAGUCCACGC
Molecule: ribosomal RNA, 730 nt
Filed under: uncultured Desulfuromonadales bacterium
Lineage: Bacteria; Pseudomonadati; Thermodesulfobacteriota; Desulfuromonadia; Desulfuromonadales
Description: bacterial SSU rRNA
Rfam family: Bacterial small subunit ribosomal RNA
Source: RNAcentral